This 301-nucleotide ribosomal RNA is filed under the name uncultured bacterium. RNAcentral describes it as "partial 16S ribosomal RNA". It matches the Rfam family "Bacterial small subunit ribosomal RNA", at positions 509 to 807 of the family's 1533-position model. The record is from RNAcentral.
CAGCCGCCGCGGUAAUACGAAGGGGGCUAGCGUUGCUCGGAAUGACUGGGCGUAAAGGGCGCGUAGGCGGAUGGCACAGUCAGAUGUGAAAUUCCCGGGCUUAACCUGGGGGCUGCAUUUGAUACGUGGUGUCUAGAGUGAGGAAGAGGGUCGUGGAAUUCCCAGUGUAGAGGUGAAAUUCGUAGAUAUUGGGAAGAACACCGGUGGCGAAGGCGGCGACCUGGUCCUUGACUGACGCUGAGGCGCGAAAGCGUGGGGAGCAAACGGGAUUAGAUACCCGCGUAGUCCCUGUCUCUUAUAC